UACGAAGGGGGCUAGCGUUGUUCGGAAUUACUGGGCGUAAAGCGCACGUAGGCGGAUAUUUAAGUCAGGGGUGAAAUCCCGGGGCUCAACCCCGGAACGGCCUUUGAUACUGGGUAUCUUGAGUGUGGUAGAGGUGAGUGGAAUUGCGAGUGUAGAGGUGAAAUUCGUAGAUAUUCGCAGGAACACCAGUGGCGAAGGCGGCUCACUGGACCACAACUGACGCUGAGGUGCGAAAGCGUGGGGAG
Molecule: ribosomal RNA, 245 nt
Filed under: uncultured bacterium
Lineage: Bacteria
Description: partial 16S ribosomal RNA
Rfam family: Bacterial small subunit ribosomal RNA
Source: RNAcentral